This 577-nucleotide ribosomal RNA is filed under the name Xcellidae sp. RNAcentral's name for it is "SSU rRNA". It matches the Rfam family "Eukaryotic small subunit ribosomal RNA", at positions 573 to 1137 of the family's 1831-position model. Lineage: Eukaryota; Perkinsozoa; Perkinsida; Xcellidae. The record is from RNAcentral.
GCCGCGGUAAUUCCAGCUCCAAUAGCGUAUGCUAAAGUUGUUGCGGUUAAAAAGCUCGUAGUUGGAUUUCUGCUGAGGUCUUAUAGGAUAUCUGUCUAUUGUAAUAACAUGAUACAGUAUCUGAACCCUCGGCAUUUAUUCAGGAAUAGUGAUAUUCUCGUUGUACUAUCGUAUUUCGUUUCACUUUCCUGAGACUUUACUUUGAGGAAAUUAGAGUGUUCAAAGCAGGCUUUUGCCUUGUAUAUAUUAGCAUGGAAUAAUAAGAUAUGACUUUGGUUGUAUUUUGUUGGCUUCAAAAACUAAAGUAAUGAUUAAUAGAAACAGUCGGGGGCAUUCGUAUUUGAAAGUCAGAGGUGAAAUUCUUGGACCUUUCAACGACGAACUAGUGCGAAAGCAUUUGCCAAGUAUGUUUUCAUUGAUCAAGAACGAAAGUUAGGGGAUCGAAGACGAUCAGAUACCGUCGUAGUCCUAGCUAUAAACUAUGCCGACUAGGGAUUGGAAGUAGCAAUUUUGGCUCUUUCAGCACCUCGUGAGAAAUCAAAGUCUUUGGGUUCCGGGGGGAGUAUGGUCGCAAGGC